Molecule: ribosomal RNA, 328 nt
Filed under: uncultured eukaryote
Lineage: Eukaryota
Description: partial 18S ribosomal RNA
Rfam family: Eukaryotic small subunit ribosomal RNA
Source: RNAcentral
CCCUUAGAUGUCCUGGGCCGCACGCGCGCUACACUGAUGCAUGCAACGAGUUUAUAACCUUGGCCUGAAAGGUCUGGGUAAUCUUUUGAACGUGCAUCGUGAUAGGGAUAGAUUAUUGCAAUUGUUAAUCUUGAACGAGGAAUUCCUAGUAAACGCGAGUCAUCAGCUCGCAUUGAUUACGUCCCUGCCCUUUGUACACACCGCCCGUCGCACCUACCGAUUGAAUGGUUCGGUGAAGAUCUCGGACUUCGAUAUUUAUUCUUUAUUGCGUUUAUAUUGUGGGAAGUUAUCUAAACCUCAUCAUUUAGAGGAAGGUGAAGUCGUAACA